UUCUUUUAGACUUUUAGAACUCUUGAGUUUACGUGACAGCAUAAUUGUUGGUUGCUGAGUAAAAACGCUUGAAAUGCAUUCAGAUAAAGCAAUAAACUAGGAAUAGCAAACACAUGACAAUGAUCAGAGGCAGUGGAAAUGCAGCCCCCUAGAGCUAAAAAAAAUAAAAAGGGCAGCCUGGUGCACUAAGCUCCCGCUAUAUGCAGGGUCAGCACAAGGGCCCGACCACAAGGGUUUAUUGUACGCAGGCUCACAUGUUUAUUGUACGCAGGCUCACCUUACAUUUCUGCGAGGGGGUAGAUGGCAAAUACAUUUAGUUGAAUCUGAUUACCGAAGACAAGGAAAAAGUUUAGGGGGUAAUGUGUGGUUCUAUAAAGCAACCCAGCUGCUACCACCCACCUUCCCUGCCAUACUAUCUCUUUCUUUUUACUCAACUUUAAAUUCUCGAAAUCCACCCUCAUAAAGUGGAGUGAAAGUAUUCAAACCAAGUCAACUUGGAAUAGUUUGAAUAGCAUAAUCGCUGUAAGAUUGCAAGGACACCCUAUGCUUACCUGAGAAGACCAAGGAAAAAUACAGGUCCAUACCAAAAAGACCACAACAGACAGAUGGAAUAACUUUCAUCCCAUCCGGAAGACAAAUACAGACGCCCUCAAUAUGCAUU
RNAcentral lists this long non-coding RNA (661 nucleotides) under Capsicum annuum. RNAcentral's name for it is "long non-coding RNA (CANN_LNC013155)". The record is from RNAcentral. Lineage: Eukaryota; Viridiplantae; Streptophyta; Magnoliopsida; Solanales; Solanaceae.